CCCUUAGAGUUUGAUCCUGGCUCAGGAUGAACGCUGGCGGCGUGCUUAACACAUGCAAGUCGAACGUGAGCCCACUUCGGUGGGUGAAAGUGGCAAACGGGUGAGUAACACGUUGGUGACCUGCCCCCCGGCGGGGGAUAACCCUGGGAAACCAGGGCUAAUACCGCGGAUGUCAAAGCUGUUAGAGGGCUUAGACUAAACCUACGGGGCCGGGGGAGGGGCCUGCGGGCUAUCAGCUAGUUGGUGGGGUAAAGGCCUACCAAGGCGCAGACGGCUAGGGGGCGUGAGAGCGCGACCCCCCACAAGGGAACUGAGACACGGUCCCUACUCCUACGGGAGGCAGCAGUGAGGAAUAUUGCCCAAUGGAGGAAACUCUGAGGCAGCAACGCCGUGUGAACGAUGACGGCCCUCGGGUUGUAAAGUUCUUUUCUCAGGGAAGAUGAUGACGGUACCUGAGGAAUAAGUCCCGGCUAACUACGUGCCAGCAGCCGCGGUAAAACGUAGGGGACAAGCGUUAUCCGGAUUUACUGGGCGUAAAGCGCCCGUAGGCGGCUAAAAAAGUUGGACGUGAAAGCUCCCGGCUUAACUGGGAGAGGCCGUUCAAAACUGUUUAGCUAGAGUGAGGCAGAGGAGCGCGGAAUUCCCGGUGUAGUGGUGGAAUGCGUAGAUAUCGGGAGGAACACCAGUGGCGAAAGCGGCGCUCUGGGCCUAAACUGACGCUGAGGGGCGAAAGCGUGGGGAGCGAACGGGAUUAGAUACCCCGGUAGUCCACGCCGUAAACGUG
RNAcentral lists this ribosomal RNA (784 nucleotides) under uncultured bacterium. RNAcentral's name for it is "bacterial SSU rRNA". It matches the Rfam family "Bacterial small subunit ribosomal RNA", at positions 1 to 810 of the family's 1533-position model. The record is from RNAcentral.